This 460-nucleotide ribosomal RNA is filed under the name uncultured bacterium. Its description in RNAcentral is "partial 16S ribosomal RNA". It matches the Rfam family "Bacterial small subunit ribosomal RNA", at positions 338 to 795 of the family's 1533-position model. The record is from RNAcentral.
CCUACGGGGGGCUGCAGUGAGGAAUAUUGGUCAAUGGACGAGAGUCUGAACCAGCCAAGUAGCGUGAAGGAUGACUGCCCUAUGGGUUGUAAACUUCUUUUAUAAAGGAAUAAAACGAGGCACGUGUGCCUUUUUGCAUGUACUUUAUGAAUAAGGAUCGGCUAACUCCGUGCCAGCAGCCGCGGUAAUACGGAGGAUCCGAGCGUUAUCCGGAUUUAUUGGGUUUAAAGGGAGCGUAGAUGGGUUGUUAAGUCAGUUGUGAAAGUUUGCGGCUCAACCGUAAAAUUGCAAUUGAUACUGGCAGUCUUGAGUACAGUUGAGGUAGGUGGAAUUCGUGGUGUAGCGGUGAAAUGCUUAGAUAUCAUGAAGAACCCCGAUUGCGAAGGCAGCUUACUAAACUGUGACUGACAUUGAUGCUCGAAAGUGUGGGGAUCAAACAGGAUUAGAUACCCGUGUAGUC